RNAcentral lists this ribosomal RNA (381 nucleotides) under uncultured Mycobacterium sp. RNAcentral describes it as "bacterial SSU rRNA". It matches the Rfam family "Bacterial small subunit ribosomal RNA", at positions 524 to 902 of the family's 1533-position model. The record is from RNAcentral. Lineage: Bacteria; Bacillati; Actinomycetota; Actinomycetes; Mycobacteriales; Mycobacteriaceae.
UACGUAGGGUGCGAGCGUUGUCCGGAAUUACUGGGCGUAAAGAGCUCGUAGGUGGUUUGUCGCGUUGUUCGUGAAAUCUCACGGCUUAACUGUGAGCGUGCGGGCGAUACGGGCAGACUAGAGUACUGCAGGGGAGACUGGAAUUCCUGGUGUAGCGGUGGAAUGCGCAGAUAUCAGGAGGAACACCGGUGGCGAAGGCGGGUCUCUGGGCAGUAACUGACGCUGAGGAGUGAAAGCGUGGGGAGCGAACAGGAUUAGAUACCCUGGUAGUCCACGCCGUAAACGGUGGGUACUAGGUGUGGGUUUCCUUCCUUGGGAUCCGUGCCGUAGCUAACGCAUUAAGUACCCCGCCUGGGGAGUACGGCCGCAAGGCUAAAACUC